This 484-nucleotide ribosomal RNA is filed under the name uncultured bacterium. RNAcentral's name for it is "partial 16S ribosomal RNA". It matches the Rfam family "Bacterial small subunit ribosomal RNA", at positions 30 to 507 of the family's 1533-position model. The record is from RNAcentral.
AUUGAACGCUGGCGGCAGGCCUAACACAUGCAAGUCGAGCGGAUGAAGGGUGCUUGCUCCUGGAUUCAGCGGCGGACGGGUGAGUAAUGCCUAGGAAUCUGCCUGGUAGUGGGGGAUAACGUCCGGAAACGGGCGCUAAUACCGCAUACGCCCUGAGGGAGAAAGUGGGGGAUCUUCGGACCUCACGCUAUCAGAUGAGCCUAGGUCGGAUUAGCUAGUUGGUGGGGUAAAGGCCUACCAAGGCGACGAUCCGUAACUGGUCUGAGAGGAUGAUCAGUCACACUGGAACUGAGACACGGUCCAGACUCCUACGGGAGGCAGCAGUGGGGAAUAUUGGACAAUGGGCGAAAGCCUGAUCCAGCCAUGCCGCGUGUGUGAAGAAGGUCUUCGGAUUGUAAAGCACUUUAAGUUGGGAGGAAGGGCAGUAAGUUAAUACCUUGCUGUUUUGACGUUACCAACAGAAUAAGCACCGGCUAACUUCGUG